GAUGAAGAACGUAGCGAAAUGCGAUAAGUAAUGUGAAUUGCAGAAUUCAGUGAAUCAUCGAAUCUUUGAACGCACCUUGCGCCCUUUGGCCAUUCCGAAGGGCAUGCCUGUUUGAGUAUCAUGAACACUUCAACUCUUCAUGGUUUUCCAUGAUGAGCUUGGACUUUGGGGGUCUUGCUGGCCUGUGGGUCGGCUCCUCUCAAAUGAAUCAGCUUGCCGGUUUUUGGUGGGCAUCACAGGUGUGAUAACUAUCUACGCUUGUGGUUUUCCACCAGGGUAACCUUCAGCAGUGGAGGUUCACUGGAGCUUACAAAUGUCUCUCCUCUGUGAGGACAGCCCUUUGAAUGUUUGAUCUCAAAUCAGGUAGGACUACCCGCUGAACUUAAGCAUAUCAAUAAGCGGAGGA
RNAcentral lists this unclassified non-coding RNA (406 nucleotides) under soil metagenome. RNAcentral's name for it is "partial contains 5.8S ribosomal RNA, internal transcribed spacer 2, and large subunit ribosomal RNA". The stretch from base 1 to 121 matches the Rfam family "5.8S ribosomal RNA", at positions 35 to 154 of the family's 154-position model. The record is from RNAcentral.